AAAAAAUUAGUUAAAUUUAUAACAUUAAUUUGUCAAAUUAAAAUUAUUUUAAAUAUUUUUUA
This 62-nucleotide transfer RNA is filed under the name Nippolachnus piri. Its description in RNAcentral is "tRNA-Asp". The record is from RNAcentral. RNAcentral also lists the same sequence under 1 other name. Lineage: Eukaryota; Metazoa; Arthropoda; Insecta; Hemiptera; Aphididae.